UCUGCUGGCCGUCUUUAGCUUUGCAGCAGACUGGGAGGGUUCACGUUCUAGCCGGGGACAGGCUGUCUCCACACUGUGUUGUGAGUCGAAGCAAGCGCAGCGCAGCGCAGCGCUGAGAUCUGUAUGGGUGGAGAGCCUGCCUGUCUGUUUUAAGACCUCCUAGGGAUUUACCCACGGGCUGCGGCGAUGAAGCCACAGUGUCCCAGUCCUCUGGAAGUUCUGAGGUUUGGACCCUGUGUCAGUGAAGGUGUCAGCUGUCCUCUGCCACAAGCUCCCAUCACUAUGGUACUCUACCCAGUCUGCAUACAACCAAGUAAUCAUGGACCUGACCUCUGAAACCUGGAGCCAAACCAUGCCUGUCCUCUGGUUGUCUCUGUGAGGUAUUGUGGACACAGCUAUACAAAGGGUCUUUCCAUGUCAUCUAGGCUGGUCUUUAAUCAUGGGAUGAAAUGUAUCUCCUGCCAUAAGCUCCUGAGUACUAAGACUACAGACCUACUGUGUGAAUAUCCUCAGAGUGUGAAGAUGGCUCCCAGUGAGUAUCCAGCCUCACUCGCUCCCUUCCUUGACACAAGGGGACUUUGAGAACCAGUAAAGCUCAUCUUUUUAAGUACCUUUACCCGCCUUUGCCACAAAAUCACCUCUCAUUGUCACAGAGACUGCUGUGGAAUAAUCCUUUUGUACACUGUGUGAAUAUAUGUCACUAU
Long non-coding RNA from Onychomys torridus (southern grasshopper mouse), 704 nucleotides. RefSeq lists it as uncharacterized. The transcript is spliced from 4 exons. NCBI's taxonomy places the organism in Eukaryota, Metazoa, Chordata, Mammalia, Rodentia, Cricetidae. The record is from RefSeq and is a predicted model, not a curated record.